Molecule: non-coding RNA, 116 nt
Organism: Triticum aestivum (bread wheat)
Lineage: Eukaryota; Viridiplantae; Streptophyta; Magnoliopsida; Poales; Poaceae
Source: Rfam
CAAGUACAACCUCCGUCCGGAAUUAACUGUCGCUGAAAUGAGUGUAUCUAGACAUGUUUUAGUGUGUAGAUACACUCAUUUCAGUGACAGUUAAUUCCGGACGGAGGGAGUAGUCU